GAUGAACGCUGGCGGCGUGCCUAAUACAUGCAAGUCGAGCGAACGGACGAGAAGCUUGCUUCUCUGAUGUUAGCGGCGGACGGGUGAGUAACACGUGGAUAACCUACCUAUAAGACUGGGAUAACUUCGGGAAACCGGAGCUAAUACCGGAUAAUAUUUUGAACCGCAUGGUUCAAAAGUGAAAGACGGUCUUGCUGUCACUUAUAGAUGGAUCCGCGCUGCAUUAGCUAGUUGGUAAGGUAACGGCUUACCAAGGCAACGAUGCAUAGCCGACCUGAGAGGGUGAUCGGCCACACUGGAACUGAGACACGGUCCAGACUCCUACGGGAGGCAGCAGUAGGGAAUCUUCCGCAAUGGGAGAAAGCCUGACGGAGCAACGCCGCGUGAGUGAUGAAGGUCUUCGGAUCGUAAAACUCUGUUAGUAGGGAAGAACAUAUGUGUAAGUAACUGUGCACAUCUUGACGGUACCUAAUCAGAAAGCCACGGCUAACUACGUG
This 497-nucleotide ribosomal RNA is filed under the name uncultured bacterium. Its description in RNAcentral is "partial 16S ribosomal RNA". It matches the Rfam family "Bacterial small subunit ribosomal RNA", at positions 28 to 507 of the family's 1533-position model. The record is from RNAcentral.